RNAcentral lists this ribosomal RNA (279 nucleotides) under uncultured bacterium. RNAcentral describes it as "partial 16S ribosomal RNA". It matches the Rfam family "Bacterial small subunit ribosomal RNA", at positions 506 to 784 of the family's 1533-position model. The record is from RNAcentral.
UGCCAGCAGCCGCGGUAAUACGGAGGGUGCAAGCGUUGCUCGGAAUUACUGGGCGUAAAGAGCGUGUAGGCGGUUUCGUAUGUCUGGCGUGAAAGCCCCGGGCUCACCCUGGGAAGUGCGCUGGAAACUGCGAGACUAGAGUCCCGGAGAGGGAGGUGGAAUUCCAGGUGUAGCGGUGAAAUGCGUAGAUAUCUGGAAGAACACCGGUGGCGAAGGCGACCUCCUGGACGGUGACUGACGCUGAGACGCGAAAGCGUGGGGAGCAAACAGGAUUAGAUA